AGCGUACACGGUGGAUGCCCUGGCAGUCAGAGGCGAUGAAGGACGUGCUAAUCUGCGAUAAGCGUCGGUAAGGUGAUAUGAACCGUUAUAACCGGCGAUUUCCGAAUGGGGAAACCCAGUGUGAUUCGUCACACUAUCAUUAACUGAAUCCAUAGGUUAAUGAGGCGAACCGGGGGAACUGAAACAUCUAAGUACCCCGAGGAAAAGAAAUCAACCGAGAUUCCCCCAGUAGCGGCGAGCGAACGGGGAGCAGCCCAGAGCCUGAAUCAGUGUGUGUGUUAGUGGAAGCGUCUGGAAAGGCGCGCGAUACAGGGUGACAGCCCCGUACACAAAAAUGCACAUACUGUGAGCUCGAUGAGUAGGGCGGGACACGUGGUAUCCUGUCUGAAUAUGGGGGGACCAUCCUCCAAGGCUAAAUACUCCUGACUGACCGAUAGUGAACCAGUACCGUGAGGGAAAGGCGAAAAGAACCCCGGCGAGGGGAGUGAAAAAGAACCUGAAACCGUGUACGUACAAGCAGUGGGAGCACGCUUAGGCGUGUGACUGCGUACCUUUUGUAUAAUGGGUCAGCGACUUAUAUUCUGUAGCAAGGUUAACCGAAUAGGGGAGCCGAAGGGAAACCGAGUCUUAACUGGGCGUUAAGUUGCAGGGUAUAGACCCGAAACCCGGUGAUCUAGCCAUGGGCAGGUUGAAGGUUGGGUAACACUAACUGGAGGACCGAACCGACUAAUGUUGAAAAAUUAGCGGAUGACUUGUGGCUGGGGGUGAAAGGCCAAUCAAACCGGGAGAUAGCUGGUUCUCCCCGAAAGCUAUUUAGGUAGCGCCUCGUGAAUUCAUCUCCGGGGGUAGAGCACUGUUUCGGCAAGGGGGUCAUCCCGACUUACCAACCCGAUGCAAACUGCGAAUACCGGAGAAUGUUAUCACGGGAGACACACGGCGGGUGCUAACGUCCGUCGUGAAGAGGGAAACAACCCAGACCGCCAGCUAAGGUCCCAAAGUCAUGGUUAAGUGGGAAACGAUGUGGGAAGGCCCAGACAGCCAGGAUGUUGGCUUAGAAGCAGCCAUCAUUUAAAGAAAGCGUAAUAGCUCACUGGUCGAGUCGGCCUGCGCGGAAGAUGUAACGGGGCUAAACCAUGCACCGAAGCUGCGGCAGCGACACUAUGUGUUGUUGGGUAGGGGAGCGUUCUGUAAGCCUGCGAAGGUGUGCUGUGAGGCAUGCUGGAGGUAUCAGAAGUGCGAAUGCUGACAUAAGUAACGAUAAAGCGGGUGAAAAGCCCGCUCGCCGGAAGACCAAGGGUUCCUGUCCAACGUUAAUCGGGGCAGGGUGAGUCGACCCCUAAGGCGAGGCCGAAAGGCGUAGUCGAUGGGAAACAGGUUAAUAUUCCUGUACUUGGUGUUACUGCGAAGGGGGGACGGAGAAGGCUAUGUUGGCCGGGCGACGGUUGUCCCGGUUUAAGCGUGUAGGCUGGUUUUCCAGGCAAAUCCGGAAAAUCAAGGCUGAGGCGUGAUGACGAGGCACUACGGUGCUGAAGCAACAAAUGCCCUGCUUCCAGGAAAAGCCUCUAAGCAUCAGGUAACAUCAAAUCGUACCCCAAACCGACACAGGUGGUCAGGUAGAGAAUACCAAGGCGCUUGAGAGAACUCGGGUGAAGGAACUAGGCAAAAUGGUGCCGUAACUUCGGGAGAAGGCACGCUGAUAUGUAGGUGAAGCGACUUGCUCGUGGAGCUGAAAUCAGUCGAAGAUACCAGCUGGCUGCAACUGUUUAUUAAAAACACAGCACUGUGCAAACACGAAAGUGGACGUAUACGGUGUGACGCCUGCCCGGUGCCGGAAGGUUAAUUGAUGGGGUUAGCGCAAGCGAAGCUCUUGAUCGAAGCCCCGGUAAACGGCGGCCGUAACUAUAACGGUCCUAAGGUAGCGAAAUUCCUUGUCGGGUAAGUUCCGACCUGCACGAAUGGCGUAAUGAUGGCCAGGCUGUCUCCACCCGAGACUCAGUGAAAUUGAACUCGCUGUGAAGAUGCAGUGUACCCGCGGCAAGACGGAAAGACCCCGUGAACCUUUACUAUAGCUUGACACUGAACAUUGAGCCUUGAUGUGUAGGAUAGGUGGGAGGCUUUGAAGUGUGGACGCCAGUCUGCAUGGAGCCGACCUUGAAAUACCACCCUUUAAUGUUUGAUGUUCUAACGUUGACCCGUAAUCCGGGUUGCGGACAGUGUCUGGUGGGUAGUUUGACUGGGGCGGUCUCCUCCUAAAGAGUAACGGAGGAGCACGAAGGUUGGCUAAUCCUGGUCGGACAUCAGGAGGUUAGUGCAAUGGCAUAAGCCAGCUUGACUGCGAGCGUGACGGCGCGAGCAGGUGCGAAAGCAGGUCAUAGUGAUCCGGUGGUUCUGAAUGGAAGGGCCAUCGCUCAACGGAUAAAAGGUACUCCGGGGAUAACAGGCUGAUACCGCCCAAGAGUUCAUAUCGACGGCGGUGUUUGGCACCUCGAUGUCGGCUCAUCACAUCCUGGGGCUGAAGUAGGUCCCAAGGGUAUGGCUGUUCGCCAUUUAAAGUGGUACGCGAGCUGGGUUUAGAACGUCGUGAGACAGUUCGGUCCCUAUCUGCCGUGGGCGCUGGAGAACUGAGGGGGGCUGCUCCUAGUACGAGAGGACCGGAGUGGACGCAUCACUGGUGUUCGGGUUGUCAUGCCAAUGGCACUGCCCGGUAGCUAAAUGCGGAAGAGAUAAGUGCUGAAAGCAUCUAAGCACGAAACUUGCCCCGAGAUGAGUUCUCCCUGACUCCUUGA
This 2786-nucleotide ribosomal RNA is filed under the name human gut metagenome. Its description in RNAcentral is "bacterial LSU rRNA". It matches the Rfam family "Bacterial large subunit ribosomal RNA". The record is from RNAcentral.